AUUGAACGCUGGCGGCAUGCUUUACACAUGCAAGUCGAACGGACGCGCGGGCUUCUUCCUGGCGGCGAGUUGCGAACGGGUGAGUAAUUCAUCCGAACGUGCCCUGUAGUGGGGAUAGCCCGGCGAAAGCCGGAUUAAUACCGCAUACGACCUGUGGGUGAAAGCGGGGGACCGAAAGGCCUCGCGCGGUUUUGGCGGCCGAUGUCGGAUUAGCUAGUUGGUGAGGUAAAGGCUUACCAAGGCGACGAUCCGUAGCUGGUCUGAGAGGACGACCAGCCACACUGGGACUGAGACACGGCCCAGACUCCUACGGGAGGCAGCAGUGGGGAAUUUUGGACAAUGGGCGCAAGCCUGACCCAGCCAUGCCGCGUGAGGGAAGAAGGCCUUCGGGUUGUAAACCGCUUUUGUUAGGGAAGAAAACCUCUGGGCUAAUACACCGGGGGGAUGACGGUACCGGAAGAAUAAGCACCGGCUAACUACGUG
RNAcentral lists this ribosomal RNA (483 nucleotides) under uncultured bacterium. RNAcentral's name for it is "partial 16S ribosomal RNA". It matches the Rfam family "Bacterial small subunit ribosomal RNA", at positions 29 to 507 of the family's 1533-position model. The record is from RNAcentral.